CGCGUAGGCGGCCUGAUAAGUAGGGGGUGAAAUCCUGUGGCUCAACUGCAGGGCUGCCUCCUAGACUGUCGGGCUUGAGCACGGUAGAGGCAGAUGGAAUUCCCGGUGUAGCGGUGGAAUGCGUAGAGAUCGGGAAGAACAUCGGUGGCGAAGGCGGUCUGCUGGGCCGUUGCUGACGCUGAGGCGCGACAGCGUGGGGAGCAAACAGGAUUAGAUACCCUGGUAGUCCACGCCGUAAACGAUGGACACUAGGCGUCGGGGGGAGCGACCCUCUCGGUGCCGUCGCUAACGCAGUAAGUGUCCCGCCUGGGGAGUACGGCCGCAAGGCUGAA
RNAcentral lists this ribosomal RNA (332 nucleotides) under uncultured bacterium. RNAcentral's name for it is "bacterial SSU rRNA". It matches the Rfam family "Bacterial small subunit ribosomal RNA", at positions 568 to 898 of the family's 1533-position model. The record is from RNAcentral.